RNAcentral lists this unclassified non-coding RNA (318 nucleotides) under uncultured Clavulina. Its description in RNAcentral is "sequence contains ITS2". The record is from RNAcentral. Lineage: Eukaryota; Fungi; Basidiomycota; Agaricomycetes; Cantharellales; Hydnaceae.
AACGCACCUUGCGCCCCCUGGUAUUCCGGGGAGCACACCUGUUCGAGUGUCUUGACACUGUCAAGCUGGGGUACUUUUUGUUUAGAAAGGUUGCCUCUGUUUGGUUAUUGGGCUCUGCCGUGUCCUGCACUUGGGGAAAUGGGCUAGCCUUAAAAGCAUUAGCAAACCUUGAUAAUCUACUCGGCGUAUUAAUGAUACAUGAACCGCAGAGGACAUUGUUAUCGGUUGCUUUCUAAUCUGGCAUUGGUGGUUCUUAGGAAUCCGUCAACCAUCUUCAGAUUUGACCUCGAAUCAGGUGGGACUACCCGCUGAACUUAA